CAGUCGCCACGGUAAUACGGAGGGAGCUAGCGUUGUUCGGAAUUACUGGGCGUAGAGCGCGCGUAGGCGGUUACUCAAGUCAGAGGUGAAAGCCCGGGGCUCAACCCCGGAACUGCCUUUGAAACUAGGUAACUAGAAUCUUGGAGAGGUCAGUGGAACUGCGAGUGUAGAGGUGAAAUUCGUAGAUAUUCGCAAGAACACCAGUGGCGAAGGCGGCUCACUGGCCCAUAACUGACGCUGAGGCACGAAAGCGUGGGGAGCAAACAGGAUUAGAUACCCCGGUAGUCCCUGUCUCUUAUAC
Molecule: ribosomal RNA, 301 nt
Filed under: uncultured bacterium
Lineage: Bacteria
Description: partial 16S ribosomal RNA
Rfam family: Bacterial small subunit ribosomal RNA
Source: RNAcentral